This 299-nucleotide long non-coding RNA is filed under the name Prunus persica (peach). RNAcentral describes it as "long non-coding RNA (PPER_LNC003444)". Lineage: Eukaryota; Viridiplantae; Streptophyta; Magnoliopsida; Rosales; Rosaceae. The record is from RNAcentral.
AAUGACUCCUCCCACCAUAUUAUGAAGUUCCCCAAGUUUUGGACUCAGUCCGAUAUCGAUUGGUCCAUAAAAUCGGACAAUUCAGGUUCGUACGAAGUUUGUUCUGAAAUAGACUGGUUGGUGUAUUGCAUAGUUCUAGACGUUGGAUUUCACUCAAAACCAACCAAAGCACUCCUCCCACUAUAUUAUGAUGUUCCCCAACUUUAGGCCUCAAUCCCAUAAUGAUUGGUCCAUGAAAUUGGACAAUUCAGGUUCUUACGAAGUUCAUUCUGAAAUGGAGUGGUUGGUGUAUUGCCUAG